AGUGAGGAAUAUUGGACAAUGGGCGAAAGCCUGAUCCAGCCAUGCCGCGUGAAUGAUGAAGGCCUUAGGGUUGUAAAAUUCUUUUAGCUGUGAAGAUGAUGACGGUAACAGCAGAAAAAGCUCCGGCUAACUCCGUGCCAGCAGCCGCGGUAAUACGGGGGGAGCGAGCGUUGUUCGGAUUUACUGGGCGUAAAGCGUGCGUAGGUGGUUUUUCAAGUCAGAAGUGAAAUCCCAGGGCUUAACCCUGGAACUGCUUUUGAAACUGGAUCACUAGAGUGUGGGAGAGGCAAGCGGAAUUCCGAGUGUAGAGGUGAAAUUCGUAGAUAUUCGGAGGAACACCAAUGGCGAAGGCAGCUUGCUGGAACACUACUGACACUGAGGCACGAAAGCGUGGGGAGCAAA
Molecule: ribosomal RNA, 402 nt
Filed under: uncultured bacterium
Lineage: Bacteria
Description: bacterial SSU rRNA
Rfam family: Bacterial small subunit ribosomal RNA
Source: RNAcentral